This 565-nucleotide long non-coding RNA is filed under the name Musa acuminata (dwarf banana). RNAcentral describes it as "long non-coding RNA (MACU_LNC005582)". Lineage: Eukaryota; Viridiplantae; Streptophyta; Magnoliopsida; Zingiberales; Musaceae. The record is from RNAcentral.
GAAAAUAAUAAUUACUAAGCACAGUAAAUCAAUAAUUCCGGAAGAAGAUAGAGAGCAAUCAAUCGGUCGGUCAUACCACAACGGAAGAGCAUAACUUUGGUCAACCAGUCUUGGAGAAGCAAUCGAUUGGCUGUCGAGCUGGUGGUCUUCGUCUGUGAGCUGAUGUAACUCUGCUCCGAUUCUUCAUCAACUUGAAGAAGAAAAAUUCGAAACAUCAAAGUUAGGACAUAAACAAAUUAAAAUAUUCCAAUAUAUUCAAAAAUCAAAUCGUUUAUAACGAGCUAGAAGAGUGCAGAGAACGAGAGAGAGAGAGAGAGAGAGAGAGCGCAUACUUGUUCAUGGGCCGGCCCUAAGAAACAUCAAGAUCUGCAGUUCUCCUCGAGAAACAUCAAGGAGUUUUUGAAUAUGGAUCCGACGGAGUAGGUGGUGUCGGGCUUAAGAUCCAAUGAGCACCGCCAGAGUGACGGACGGAGCACAUCGGCCUCUGCUUGCCUCGUUGUAAUAGAUGUCGAUCCGCUCAAGAUGUAAGGUCGGAGUCGCCAAUGUACCUGUCGCUGCCGUCGAU